RNAcentral lists this ribosomal RNA (467 nucleotides) under uncultured bacterium. RNAcentral describes it as "partial 16S ribosomal RNA". It matches the Rfam family "Bacterial small subunit ribosomal RNA", at positions 28 to 507 of the family's 1533-position model. The record is from RNAcentral.
GACGAACGCUGGCGGCGUGCUUAACACAUGCAAGUCGAACGGAAAGGCCCUGCUUUUGUGGGGUGCUCGAGUGGCGAACGGGUGAGUAACACGUGAGUAACCUGCCCUUGACUUUGGGAUAACUUCAGGAAACUGGGGCUAAUACCGGAUAGGAGCUCCUGCUGCAUGGGGGGGGUGGAAAGUUUCGGCGGUUGGGGAUGGACUCGCGGCUUAUCAGCUUGUUGGGGGGGUAGUGGCUUACCAAGGCUUUGACGGGUAGCCGGCCUGAGAGGGUGACCGGCCACAUUGGGACUGAGAUACGGCCCAGACUCCUACGGGAGGCAGCAGUGGGGAAUAUUGCACAAUGGGCGGAAGCCUGAUGCAGCAACGCCGCGUGCGGGAUGACGGCCUUCGGGUUGUAAACCGCUUUCGCCUGUGACGAAGCGUGAGUGACGGUAAUGGGUAAAGAAGCACCGGCUAACUACGUG